CCUCCGACCACCAUGGCUCCAACCACUCAUUCACGCAAGCAGGAUCCCCCCUGAUUCAGCUGUUCUCCUCCACUCUCUAGAUCAGGUUCGUCCCCGUAGACCCCCUGCUCCUGGGCGUCUCCAUCCCUUCUCAAUCUCCCACCAAAUGUGCUUCCAGGUUGUGCCUGCAAGUAGUCAUGGAGACUUUCUUUCUCCAUAGUCUGUGAUUUGGGCUACUGCAAGUAAAAAAGUUCACCAUGUGAGAAGGAGUCAGUGCAAUAUACUGUAGGUAAGAUGUUCAUCUUUUGCGUGACCAAAAAAUUUCAUCUUCUGAAGGUUGAAGACAAAUGGGCUAUGAAGCUUUAGAUAAAAAUGAUUUGUUUCUGUAUCUAUAUUCUAGUAUUCAGCAUGAGCAGAAAGUUUGCUCCUUCGCCUCUAGCCACCGGUAGUUCAUUGUCAGUACAGGCUCUGAAACUGUCAGUACAGUCCGUUCACCGCUGACACACGAGGCCGUUCAACAAUGCAAUGAUGAGGUCUGGACUUUCCCUUGACUCUUUUUAUGUAGCAUUUUCUGAAAAAUAUCACACUUUCAACUGCCUCAAGAGUUCAAAAGUCUAAACAAACAAAAGCUGAAACU
Molecule: long non-coding RNA, 616 nt
Filed under: Triticum aestivum (bread wheat)
Lineage: Eukaryota; Viridiplantae; Streptophyta; Magnoliopsida; Poales; Poaceae
Description: long non-coding RNA (TAES_LNC016550)
Source: RNAcentral